GCGGCCUAUCAGCUUGUUGGUGGGGUGAUGGCCUACCAAGGCUUCGACGGGUAGCCGGCCUGAGAGGGCGUCCGGCCACACUGGGACUGAGACACGGCCCAGACUCCUACGGGAGGCAGCAGUGGGGAAUAUUGCGCAAUGGGCGGAAGCCUGACGCAGCGACGCCGCGUGGGGGAUGACGGCCUUCGGGUUGUAAACCUCUUUCGACUUCGACGAAGCCUUUCGGGGUGACGGUAGGGGUGGAAGAAGCACCGGCCAACUACGUGCCAGCAGCCGCGGUAAUACGUAGGGUGCGAGCGUUGUCCGGAAUUAUUGGGCGUAAAGAGCUCGUAGGCGGUGUGUCGCGUCGGCCGUGAAAACCUGCAGCUUAACUGUGGGCGUGCGGUCGAUACGGGCAUCACUGGAGUUCGGCAGGGGAGACUGGAAUUCCUGGUGUAGCGGUGAAAUGCGCAGAUAUCAGGAGGAACACCGGUGGCGAAGGCGGGUCUCUGGGCCGAUACUGACGCUGAGGAGCGAAAGCGUGGGGAGCGAACAGGAUUAGAUACCCUGGUAGUCCACGCCGUAAACGGUGGGCACUAGGUGUGGGGGCCAUUCCACGGUCUCUGUGCCGCAGCUAACGCAUUAAGUGCCCCGCCUGGGGAGUACGG
This 647-nucleotide ribosomal RNA is filed under the name uncultured bacterium. RNAcentral's name for it is "bacterial SSU rRNA". It matches the Rfam family "Bacterial small subunit ribosomal RNA", at positions 233 to 885 of the family's 1533-position model. The record is from RNAcentral.